CAAUAGCGUAUAUUAAAGUUGUUGCAGUUAAAAAGCUCGUAGUUGAAACUCCGGCGUCGCGAGACGUCUGCCUGGAAGAACUGGCGAUACCGUAAAAAGUUUUGCCUUUUUGAACAGGCUUUUACUGUGAACAAAUUAAAGUGCUUAAAGCAGGCUUUUGCUUGAAUAUUCUAGCAUGGAAUAAUAAAAUAUGACUUUAUUCAUUUUAUUGGUUAUUGAAUAGAGUAAUGAUUAACAGGAACAGUUGGGGGCAUUCGUAUUUAAUAGUCAGAGGUGAAAUUCUUAGAUUUAUUAAAGACGAACUAAAGCGAAAGCAUUUGCCAAGGAUGUUUUCAUUAAUCAAGAACGAAAGUUAGGGGAU
This 361-nucleotide ribosomal RNA is filed under the name Acineta sp. (in: ciliates). RNAcentral describes it as "SSU rRNA". It matches the Rfam family "Eukaryotic small subunit ribosomal RNA", at positions 592 to 998 of the family's 1831-position model. The record is from RNAcentral. Lineage: Eukaryota; Ciliophora; Phyllopharyngea; Endogenida; Acinetidae.